GCAUUCACUUGGCAGUUCACUCACUAAAAUUUGAACCAUGUAGAGAUUAGAAUGGUUCCCAUGCUAAGAUGUCAUGCAAAUUUGUGGCACCUUCCAUAUUUUU
RNAcentral lists this small nuclear RNA (103 nucleotides) under Peromyscus maniculatus bairdii (prairie deer mouse). Lineage: Eukaryota; Metazoa; Chordata; Mammalia; Rodentia; Cricetidae. The record is from RNAcentral.